Molecule: small nuclear RNA, 282 nt
Filed under: Mus pahari (shrew mouse)
Lineage: Eukaryota; Metazoa; Chordata; Mammalia; Rodentia; Muridae
Description: sRNA (MGP_PahariEiJ_G0008309.1)
Rfam family: 7SK RNA
About the family: 7SK was discovered as an abundant small nuclear RNA in the mid-70s but a possible function has only recently been suggested.
Source: RNAcentral
GGAUGGAAAGAUGAUCUGGCUGCUAAAUCUGUCAACCCAUUGUUCACUAGAGUUGGUUUAGCUGAUCUGGCUUGCAAAGCAGGCACCUCCCUUCUCCCUCACUCUUCCAUGUAUGUCUCUCCUGAACUUGUGUAGAAGAAAAGGACCUUCCCUGGAUAAGAGGACCAUUCUGUUGAUGGUAAGUAGUGGUAUUCCCCUGGUAAAACUUCCAAACAACCACUUAAGAUUCAUUUCAGAUGACACCCUAACCAGGAAGUUUAACAACGAACAUAUUUUCACUAU